UACGGAGGGGGCGAGCGUUGUUCGGAAUCAUUGGGCGUAAAGGGCGCGUAGGCGGCCGGCCAAGUCGGGUGUGAAAUCCCUCGGCUCAACCGAGGGACUGCAUUCGAUACUGGCUGGCUCGAGUCCGGGAGGGGAUGGUGGAAUUCCCAGUGUAGCGGUGAAAUGCGUAGAUAUUGGGAAGAACACCGGUGGCGAAGGCGACUAUCUGGACCGGAACUGACGCUGAGGCGCGAAAGCCAGGGGAGCGAAUGGG
RNAcentral lists this unclassified non-coding RNA (253 nucleotides) under uncultured Acidobacteriota bacterium. RNAcentral's name for it is "uncultured Acidobacteria bacterium contains 16S-23S intergenic spacer region". It matches the Rfam family "Bacterial small subunit ribosomal RNA", at positions 524 to 776 of the family's 1533-position model. Lineage: Bacteria; Pseudomonadati; Acidobacteriota. The record is from RNAcentral.